AUGCAAACUUGUUGCCAACCAAAUUACUGCAAAAUGCAUCAUGAAAAAAGAUGUGAUCGUAAGUCUCCUCACAAGAUUGGAACACCAAUAGCUCAUCCUGUAGCUAGAAAAUGACUUCAAGUACUAUAGAGCAUCCCAUGAGCAAUAAAAGAUUGAUAAAGUGCAAAAGAAGAGUCCUCACUUUAGAUAUCUAACUAAAAGUAUAAAUUAUCAUUUUU
RNAcentral lists this long non-coding RNA (218 nucleotides) under Eucalyptus grandis. RNAcentral describes it as "long non-coding RNA (EGRA_LNC007315)". Lineage: Eukaryota; Viridiplantae; Streptophyta; Magnoliopsida; Myrtales; Myrtaceae. The record is from RNAcentral.